RNAcentral lists this long non-coding RNA (373 nucleotides) under Mytilus galloprovincialis (Mediterranean mussel). The record is from RNAcentral. Lineage: Eukaryota; Metazoa; Mollusca; Bivalvia; Mytilida; Mytilidae.
UAGUCCCUAGUGUUGACAGUGGGUUACUUGCCAAUAUUUUUCAUACCCCUUCCAAAUUUAUUUCUCCAUGUUUUAUGCUUCAAAUUGAAAGUAGGGGGUGAAAUUACACUGUAAAAAAAAUUUGGGUCCAGAAUUUCAAAGGAAAGUAGUGAUUUGGUCCAGCUGAAAAAGGUUAAAAAUUAGCACUUCGGAAGCUGUCAAAAGAUUUCAAGACGCCCUAAACAUAAAAUUGUCCAUAUUUUGAGUUAGAACCGAUGAAGUUUUCUAUAAUUUUGAUAUAAUUUGUCCCAAAAGUAGUACAACACACUGUAAAAUUUUCAUUGAGAAAGCGCAGGUGGGAUUUUUUAAUUUCCAUUUAUGUUCUAAAAGAAAU